UUGUGGUUAAAAAGCUCGUAGUUGGAUCUCAACAGCCUUGAAGCGGUUAACUUUGUAGUUUUACUGCUUUAUAGGCUGUGCUUCUGCUGGAGGUUUAGGGGUGCUCUUGAUCGAGUGUCUCUGGAUGCCAGCAGGUUUACUUUGAAAAAAUUAGAGUGCUCAAAGCAGGCUAAAAUGCCUGAAUAUUCGUGCAUGGAAUAAUAGAAUAGGAUGUCGAUCCUAUUUUGUUGGUUUUCGGGACUCGACAUAAUGAUAAAUAGGGACAGUCGGGGGCAUUUGUAUUCAAACGACAGAGGUGAAAUUCUUGGACCGUUUGAAGACAAACUACUGCGAAAGCAUCUGCCAAGAAUGUUUUCAUUAAUCAAGAACGAAAGUUAGAGGUUCGAAGGCGAUUAGAUACCGCCCUAGUUCUAACCAUAAACGAUGCCAGCUAGCGAUCUGCCUGCGUUUUUACUGUAGACUGGGCAGGAAGCUUCCGGGAAACCAAAGCAUUUGGGUUCCAGGGGAAGUAUGGUUGCAAAGCUGAAACUUAAAGGAAUUGACGGAAGGGCACC
RNAcentral lists this ribosomal RNA (554 nucleotides) under uncultured marine eukaryote. Its description in RNAcentral is "SSU rRNA". It matches the Rfam family "Eukaryotic small subunit ribosomal RNA", at positions 613 to 1168 of the family's 1831-position model. The record is from RNAcentral.